CACGUAGUUAGCCGUGACUUUCUAAGUAAUUACCGUCAAGUAAAGGCCAGUUACUACCUCUAUCUUUCUUCACUACCAACAGAGCUUUACGAGCCGAAACCCUUCUUCACUCACGCGGCGUUGCUCCAUCAGACUUUCGUCCAUUGUGGAAGAUUCCCUACUGCUGCCUCCCGUAGGAGUUUGGGCCGUGUCUCAGUCCCAAUGUGGCCGAUCAGUCUCUCAACUCGGCUAUGCAUCAUUGCCUUGGUAAGCCGUUACCUUACCAACUAGCUAAUGCACCGCAGGUCCAUCCAAGAGUGAUAGCAGAACCAUCUUUCAAACUCUAGACAUGCGUCUAGUGUUGUUAUCCGGUAUUAGCAUCUGUUUCCAGGUGUUAUCCCAGUCUCUUGGGCAGGUUACCCACGUGUUACUCACCCGUCCGCCGCUCGCUUGUAUCUAGUUUCAUUUAGUGCAAGCACUAAAAUCAUCUAGGCAAGCUCGCUCGA
This 485-nucleotide ribosomal RNA is filed under the name uncultured Lactobacillus sp. RNAcentral describes it as "partial 16S ribosomal RNA". Lineage: Bacteria; Bacillati; Bacillota; Bacilli; Lactobacillales; Lactobacillaceae. The record is from RNAcentral.